AAACGAUGUCGAUUAGCUGUUGGGCAGCAUGACUGCUUAGUAGCGAAGCUAACGCGUGAAAUCGACCGCCUGGGAGUACGGUCGCAAGAUUAAAACUCAAAGGAAUUGACGAGGACCCGCACAAGCGGUGGAUGAUGUGGAUUAAUUCGAUGCAACGCAAAGAACCUUACCUGGUCUUGACAUGUACGGAACCCUCCAGAGACGGAGGGGUGCCUUCGGGAGCCGUAACACAGGUGCAGCAUGGCUGUCGUCAGCUCGUGUCGUGAGAUGUUGGGUUAAGUCCCGCAACGAGCGCAACCCUUGUCAUUAGUUGCCAUCAUUAAGUUGGGCACUCUAAUGAGACUGCCGGUGAUAAGCCGGAGGAAGGUGGGGAUGACGUCAAGUCCUCAUGGCCCUUAUGACCGGGGCUUCACACGUCAUACAAUGGUCGGUACAGAGGGUAGCCAAGCCGCGAGGUGGAGCCAAUCUCACAAAACCGAUCGUAGUCCGGAUUGCACUCUGCAACUCGAGUGCAUGAAGUCGGAAUCGCUAGUAGUCGCAGGUCAGCAUACUGCGGUGAAUACGUUCCCGGGUCUUNU
This 578-nucleotide ribosomal RNA is filed under the name uncultured bacterium. Its description in RNAcentral is "bacterial SSU rRNA". It matches the Rfam family "Bacterial small subunit ribosomal RNA", at positions 804 to 1384 of the family's 1533-position model. The record is from RNAcentral.